RNAcentral lists this ribosomal RNA (508 nucleotides) under Monodopsis subterranea. RNAcentral describes it as "SSU rRNA". It matches the Rfam family "Eukaryotic small subunit ribosomal RNA", at positions 1294 to 1828 of the family's 1831-position model. Lineage: Eukaryota; Eustigmatophyceae; Eustigmatales; Monodopsidaceae. The record is from RNAcentral.
UUAGUUGGUGGAGUGAUUUGUCUGGUUAAUUCCGUUAACGAACGAGACCCCCGCCUGCUAAAUAGUNCUGGGAAUGCUUAGCAUUGCCAGCGACUUCUUAGAGGGACUUUCGGCGCUAGGCCGAAGGAAGUUGGGGGCAAUAACAGGUCUGUGAUGCCCUUAGAUGUCCUGGGCCGCACGCGCGCUACACUGAUGCGUUCAACGAGUUUAUAACCUUGUUCGGAAGGACCGGGUAAUCUUGAAAUGCGCAUCGUGAUAGGGAUAGAUUAUUGCAACUAUUAAUCUUGAACGAGGAAUUCCUAGUAAACGCGAGUCAUCAGCUCGCAUUGAUUACGUCCCUGCCCUUUGUACACACCGCCCGUCGCACCUACCGAUUGAAUGAUUCGGUGAAGCUUUCGGACCGUGCCACUAGCUUCGGCUGGCGGCGUGGGAAGUUAUCUAAACCUCAUCAUUUAGAGGAAGGUGAAGUCGUAACAAGGUUUCCGUAGGUGAACCUGCGGAAGGAUCA